This 20-nucleotide microRNA is filed under the name Gallus gallus (chicken). Its description in RNAcentral is "microRNA Ros-gga". Lineage: Eukaryota; Metazoa; Chordata; Aves; Galliformes; Phasianidae. The record is from RNAcentral.
UGGGGCUGUUAUGGGGCUGU